Molecule: ribosomal RNA, 484 nt
Filed under: uncultured bacterium
Lineage: Bacteria
Description: partial 16S ribosomal RNA
Rfam family: Bacterial small subunit ribosomal RNA
Source: RNAcentral
AUUGAACGCUGGCGGCAGGCCUAACACAUGCAAGUCGAGCGGAAGAAGGGUGCUUGCUUCUGGUUUCGGCGGCGGACUGGCGGGUAAUUCCUAGGAAUAUGCCUGGCAGCGGUUUAUAACGUGCGGAAAUGGGCGAUAAUACCCCAUACCCCCUGAGGGCGAACGUGGGGGAUCAUCGGACCUUACGCUAUCAGGUGAUUCGAGGUCGGAUUAGCUAGUUGGCGGGGUAAAGGCCUACCAAGGCGACGAUCCGUAGCUGGUCUGAGAGGAUGAUCAGCCACACUGGAACUGAGACACGGUCCAGACUCCUACGGGAGGCAGCAGUGGGGAAUAUUGGACAAUGGGCGCAAGCCUGAUCCAGCCAUGCCGCGUGGGUGAAGAAGGUCUUCGGGUUGUAAAGCACUUUUAGUUGGGAAGAAGAGCAGUAGGUUAAUACCUCGCUGUUUUGACGGUACCAAAAGAAUAAGCACCGGCUAACUUCGUG